ACGAGGGGGGCAAGCGUUGUUCGGAAUUACUGGGCGUAAAGGGCGCGUAGGCGGUCUGACAAGUCUUCCGUGAAAGCCCACGGCUCAACCGUGGAACUGCGGGGGAAACUGACAGACUUGAGUCCGGGAGGGGAGAGUGGAAUUCCCAGUGUAGCGGUGAAAUGCGCAGAUAUUGGGAGGAACACCGGAGGCGAAGGCGUCUCUCUGGACCGGUACUGACGCUGAGGCGCGAAAGCCAGGGGAGCGAACGGG
Molecule: ribosomal RNA, 252 nt
Filed under: uncultured bacterium
Lineage: Bacteria
Description: partial 16S ribosomal RNA
Rfam family: Bacterial small subunit ribosomal RNA
Source: RNAcentral